Molecule: ribosomal RNA, 484 nt
Filed under: uncultured Leadbetterella sp.
Lineage: Bacteria; Pseudomonadati; Bacteroidota; Cytophagia; Cytophagales; Leadbetterellaceae
Description: bacterial SSU rRNA
Rfam family: Bacterial small subunit ribosomal RNA
Source: RNAcentral
AGAGUUUGAUCAUGGCUCAGGAUGAACGCUAGCGGCAGGCUUAAUACAUGCAAGUCGAGGGGGCAGCAAUGUCACCGGCGAACGGGUGCGUAACGCGUAUGCAACCUACCUACAUCAGGGGGAUAGCCCUAGGAAACUGGGAUUAACACCGCAUAACAAUAGAGUUGGCAUCAACUUUAUUUGAAAUAUUUAUAGGAUGUAGAUGGGCAUGCGUAGGAUUAGCUAGUUGGUAAGGUAACGGCUUACCAAGGCUACGAUCCUUAGGGGCUCUGAGAGGAGUAUCCCCCACACUGGCACUGAGAUACGGGCCAGACUCCUACGGGAGGCAGCAGUAGGGAAUAUUGGGCAAUGGAGGCAACUCUGACCCAGCCAUGCCGCGUGCAGGAAGACGGUCCUCUGGAUUGUAAACUGCUUUUGAAUGGGAAGAAUGUGCUCCUUGCGAGGGGUAAUGACGGUACCAUAGAAUAGCCCAGGCCUCUCGGCC